UCCUACGGGAGGCAGCAGUGGGGAAUUUUGGACAAUGGGCGAAAGCCUGAUCCAGCCAUGCCGCGUGCAGGAUGAAGGCCUUCGGGUUGUAAACUGCUUUUGUACGGAACGAAAAGACUCUGGUUAAUACCUGGGGUCUAUGACGGUACCGUAAGAAUAAGCACCGGCUAACUACGUGCCAGCAGCCGCGGUAAUACGUAGGGUGCAAGCGUUAAUCGGAAUUACUGGGCGUAAAGCGUGCGCAGGCGGUUAUAUAAGACAGAUGUGAAAUCCCCGGGCUCAACCUGGGAACUGCAUUUGUGACUGUAUAGCUAGAGUACGGCAGAGGGGGAUGGAAUUCCGCGUGUAGCAGUGAAAUGCGUAGAUAUGCGGAGGAACACCGAUGGCGAAGGCAAUCCCCUGGGCCUGUACUGACGCUCAUGCACGAAAGCGUGGGGAGCAAACAGGAUAGAUACCCUGGUAGUCCACGCCCUAAACGAUGUCAACUGGUUGUUGGGUCUUCACUGACUCAGUAACGAAGCUAACGCGUGAAGUUGACCGCCUGGGGAGUACGGCCGCAAGGUUGAAACUCAAAUGAAUUGACGGA
RNAcentral lists this ribosomal RNA (586 nucleotides) under uncultured bacterium. RNAcentral's name for it is "bacterial SSU rRNA". It matches the Rfam family "Bacterial small subunit ribosomal RNA", at positions 337 to 917 of the family's 1533-position model. The record is from RNAcentral.